RNAcentral lists this ribosomal RNA (250 nucleotides) under uncultured bacterium. Its description in RNAcentral is "partial 16S ribosomal RNA". It matches the Rfam family "Bacterial small subunit ribosomal RNA", at positions 524 to 773 of the family's 1533-position model. The record is from RNAcentral.
UACGGAGGGUGCAAGCGUUAAUCGGAAUUACUGGGCGUAAAGCGCGCGUAGGCGGUUUUGUAAGUCGGAUGUGAAAGCCCCGGGCUUAACCUGGGAAUGGCAUUCGAUACUGCUCGACUAGAGUAUGGUAGAGGGAAGCGGAAUUCCGGGUGUAGCGGUGAAAUGCGUAGAUAUCCGGAGGAACACCAGUGGCGAAGGCGGCUUCCUGGACCAAUACUGACGCUGAGGCGCGAAAGCGUGGGGAGCAAAC